RNAcentral lists this ribosomal RNA (406 nucleotides) under Staphylococcus aureus. RNAcentral's name for it is "partial 23S ribosomal RNA". It matches the Rfam family "Bacterial large subunit ribosomal RNA", at positions 837 to 1246 of the family's 2925-position model. The record is from RNAcentral. Lineage: Bacteria; Bacillati; Bacillota; Bacilli; Caryophanales; Staphylococcaceae.
ACCUGGAGAUAGCUGGUUCUCUCCGAAAUAGCUUUAGGGCUAGCCUCAAGUGAUGAUUAUUGGAGGUAGAGCACUGUUUGGACGAGGGGCCCCUCUCGGGUUACCGAAUUCAGACAAACUCCGAAUGCCAAUUAAUUUAACUUGGGAGUCAGAACAUGGGUGAUAAGGUCCGUGUUCGAAAGGGAAACAGCCCAGACCACCAGCUAAGGUCCCAAAAUAUAUGUUAAGUGGAAAAGGAUGUGGCGUUGCCCAGACAACUAGGAUGUUGGCUUAGAAGCAGCCAUCAUUUAAAGAGUGCGUAAUAGCUCACUAGUCGAGUGACACUGCGCCGAAAAUGUACCGGGGCUAAACAUAUUACCGAAGCUGUGGAUUGUCCUUUGGACAAUGGUAGGAGAGCGUUCUAAGG